UUUGGAGUGCCGAAGGUUGCCCACCCUUGACUUAGGGUGUCAUGGAGUGGGAAGGGCGGGGCAGACUCCAAGCACAAUGACCACUUCAAAUUGCUGAAGCGAUCAUGUCGCUUGGAGUAAUUUUUUAAAUAAAGAAAGACUAGAGUCACUGACUCAUUAAUUUGUGAUAAAGUAGUGAGUAUUAGUUUCAACAUUUAGUUCUCAACCAACAACAAAAAGUGGUACGAUCAUUAAAAUGUAUUUCUAUAAAUCAUUUAAAAAGAUAUUCUUUAUAAAGUGAUAUUAUUUCUAUCUAGCUGCUGCUGUAGUUACCACUUGAGUACAUGGCUGGAUUAAGAGCCCAUUGGGCCUGGUGAUGACAAUAUGAUGGGCCUAAUUACAGAAUCUUAUCAACAGAAAACACUAAAACCCUUAUAUCUCCCAAGCGUCAUGUAUCUGGUGGAGGUGGUGCUGAAAAAUUUUCUCCUCGAAAAAUUAGAUGGUCAGCCUGGCGUGAAUGCACAAACAUGCAGGAGGACCAACCAAGGUCAUACUGUGCAGACAGCACCCUGAGCUUGGCAUAAAUGCGCCUAAUGAUGUGCUAUCUCAAUGCUUUCUAAGGACUGUCCCCUAGCACUUGCUGGUCCACUCCUCUCCUUACCUUCUUACUAGCAGGCAGAAGCUCCUUUUAUACAGUCUGGGACAGAGAAAGUGUAUGUAGUGAGUGUGACGGUAGUCACCAUCACUGGGGAUGGAAGACAGAAACUAUGGGUGGGCUCCCAAAUUCUUUUUGUGUUUUGUCACAUUGUGCCUAUUACUUGUGCGGGGUAUGUUGAAUGUAUUGCUGGUCUGUGCUUCUCCCCCUCCCCAUUUUUUCCUGUCCUAUUGUUUCCCCAGCAGGGUGUUGUCCCAGGGACACUGCCAGACCAGUUUAAACUAGCUGCUUUGUCCCUCCUCAAUCUCCCAUCAGCCCUUGCUAUUGUCUGACCCCACCCUUCCUUGUACUAUAGUAAUCUAUGUAACCUAUUGUAUGUAAAUUAGGCUCUUGGGGGCUUAAACUAUGUGUGCUGUAUUCAUUAAAGAGUUGCUGUUUAACCUUCACCAUGUGUCGUCUGGUGUUUGGUCCAGGGUGGAAAAGGCCCUUAGUGAUCCCAGUCAUGCCUCGGCCUCUGGGUCUGAAGUGUUUCAGGGUCCCUGAUAGCCACAAGGAAGCAGACUUGGCGGAGGUACUCGGUCGGAGUACUGGAGCUCCGUUACAGUGAGUGUAGAAGAAAAGGAACAUGUCACAGUGUUAGAGAGACUGAAGCAGCAAGAGUAUUUGCAUAGUGCACAAAGUCAGCUUUACCUUAACUAAUUUCAUUGUCAGCCCGUCCACACAGUUUUAAUCCCCUACAUCCCUCUUAAAUUUCCAUAUUUAAGCAAGAGCAUGUGAAGAGAAGUUAAAAAAAAAAAAAGGAGCAACUCCAUUGGCCUCUAUGUUAAUCAGGCCCUGCUUGCAUUGUGUAUUUCUGAAUGUGUCUGGCAUUGUAUACCUGGCUAUAUGCCUGAGAGUGUGUGUCUGACAGAGUGUUAGGUGGGAAUGUAUGUCUCUUUGAGCAUGUGUGUGUUUUUGUCUGGGACCCUAUAUGUGUGGGGUAGCUGCUUGCAGUGUGUUGUGUGGGAGCAGCCUGUGGCCAUUGUGUAUUGUUUUAUGGCAAAGUUAUGUUUCAUGGAAGGAUUAGAGGGGCUAAUGUGACAGGGUGAGUGUGGCAUGGUUGGGGGAUGAGUGUGACAGGAUCGAAGCAUUUAAUGUCGUAUGACAGGGUUGGGGUGACUGUGGCAUGGUUGGAGGAGGUAGUGUGACAGUGUGUCGGAGGAGGUGACUGAGUGUUAAGGGGUGAUGGUGUAUGUAUGGGGGGUGACUGUGUGUGGGGGUAACAGUGUGUGGGUGGAAGGAUAACUGUGUGUAUAUGUGGGGUUGACAGUGUGUGUGUGUGUGUGGUCAGUGUCUGGAAGGGGGUGACAGUGUGUAUGUGUUUGUGUGUGUGUGUAUGGGGAAGGUGACAGUGUGUGUGAGUGUGUGGAAGAGAGUGACAGUACAGUGUGGGGGGUUACAGUGUGUGUGUGUGGGUGACAGUGUGUCUGAGAGGGUGAGUGUGUGGAAGAGUGUGAUACUACAGUGUGGGGGAGACAGUGCGUGGGUGUGGGGUUGGUGAGUGUGUGGAAGCGAGUGAAAGUACAGUGUGGUGGGUGACAGUGUGUAGGUGAGUGAGUGUGUGUGUGGUGUGGAAGGGAGAGACAGUACAAUUUGGGGGGUGACAUUGUGUGCAUGUGUGUUGGAGUUAGUGUGUGGAACUGUGACAGUACAGUAUGGGAGGUGACAGUGUGUGUGGAGGGGUGACAGUGUGUGUGUAAUGGGGUGACAGUGUGUGUGUAAUGGGGUGACAGCAUGUGUGUUGGUGGCAGUGUGUAUGGGGGGGAUGACUGUGUUUUAGGGGGUGACAGUGUGAGGGAUAACAGUGUGUGUGGGUGAUAGCAGUGUGUUUGUGGGGGGAUAAGGUUGUGGAAGGGUGACAGUGUGUUUGUGAGGGUUGACAGUGUGGAAGGGGGGGGAGGCUGUGUGUCAGUAACCAGCCUCCCAACAUUUACAUAGCUCUCUUUUUUUUUUUAGCAAAUGGGUGCAGAGCUGCAGACCACGUGAUCAGAGUCUCGCAAUCUCCAGAAGCAUCAGAACGUUGCCAUGGUAAACCUGCAGCAAAGCUCGAAUUCACUGACAUCAAGUGACAGUAAUUUCCCAUUCUGCAGCUCUGCACCCGUGGGAGCUGCAGACCAGAGGCGCUGGCUCUCUUUCAGGGCAGACUGUGUGGAAGGGCCUCGCACCGAGCGGUAUAAAGGGCAAGCCACCCUCCCGAUAGGUCACCCUGCCCAAUGGUGAUUUAGAAGGCCGCGAGGCUCCAGUCAGCACAAAGCCUUAGGCAGCCGUCUGAAUCACCUAAUUAGAGAGCUGCUUCUGCCACUGUGCAAAUUAUCAGCAGUUAUGUUGCUUAGAAGACCCCUUUAUUGGAGAACUCUCAUUCCCCAGGAUUUUCAACAUCAUGUUUACUUAUCCCUAUAUUGAAUAUAUAUGCAUCUCAAACAUGUGAAAAAGAAAAUUAAAUGUAGACAUCUAGACUUUCUAUCCUGCAAUUGUGCGCCUCCAUCUUCGCUCCCUGUCCAUCAUUGUUAUAAACUCUAUACUGGCACCUAGCAGUCAGCACAGAGUCAGGAGAAAUGAGACAAUGUUUCUAUUUAUAUUCCACAUUCGUGCCCUGAGUUUGCUUUCUGAUGUUAUUUGCCAAGUAUUUAAUAUAGUUUUAAAAGAAAACAGGGCAUUACAUGGGGAGGAAAUGACAGACGGUAUAGGUGAUCUCUAAUGUAUGAUUAAAUUUUGUAAAUUCCCAAACAGUAACAGUUCUCCAUUAAAUGUUGCACACACAGAAGAAUAUGGGGCUUGACCAAGUCUGGGUACUAAAUAAAAUAUUGGGGAGGAAGGGCAGAUGGUUUUAGAUGUGAAUUGCUUGUGUUUCUAUGUUCUACAGAAAAUCCCUGCUGAGAGAAAUAUGUAAUAAUGAAAAGAGAAUAUUUUGAUAAUUAUAAUUAACGAAGAACACACACCUACAUGCAUCUCACAAACAUAUCUCUUGGUUUCCAAGUGCUACAUGGUCCAUUCAAGUUUUAUGGUCUUCUUAGAUGGAAAUACUGCCAUUAGCUCAUUGAAUAUAUUGAAGAUGUUAAUUUGCGUAAUGUUAUUCCUGAAGUAAUGGUGCAAAGGUCCACAAUAAAAAACGGCAACAGCUUAUCACAUGAAUCAACGUUUGGUUUACAACUAUCCCUUAUCUCAGCUGACAGCUGUGUACAUUUUAAAAAACUGUUUAAAUACUUACAAUAGUGGGGACGUUAGGGCAUUCCUGCCACCAUAACCACUACAUCUUGUUGUAGAGGUUAUGAUGAUUGGAGUAUUCCUUUAAUAGACACCCAGACUACAGCCAGAAUACUGUAUCUUAGAGACAUUUGGAUGAUGAUGCUUACAUCAGUUCCACAGUUUGGAGGUUCAUUUUUUCCAGUUGACAAGAAGAUACUAUAUGGUUAACUACAGCCACAUGGGUUGAAACAUCAAUGUGUUUCUAUAUAUUCAAUAUGGAAUUAAUAAAAAUAGACUCAUUUACAUUGAAAUCUAUUGGAUUUUAAACACAUAGUAUAGAACCUGGGCUUUUACACUUUAUGAUCUUUUUCUUUUUUUUACUGUAAAUUUUUGGUCUUUCUCAAUUAAAU
Non-coding RNA from Pelobates cultripes (western spadefoot toad), 4269 nucleotides. NCBI's taxonomy places the organism in Eukaryota, Metazoa, Chordata, Amphibia, Anura, Pelobatidae. The record is from the annotation of a GenBank genome assembly.